AUUUAUUUACUUUUUGCCCAUGGCUUCCGGCCAAAUAUUUGGAGAUUCGGAGCUCUAAUCCUAUAAGCCACUGCCAGUGGUCUUAACAGCACAAACGUGUUCACACUGAAAUGGCGGCCGCGGCUUUGUCGCCAGCCACCACUUCCCUCCGCCUAAAACCCUUCUCUGCCGUCCGCCUCCUCUCUCUCUACCACAAAACCACCAAAACCACGGCAGUCCCCAAUAGCUACCCCUGCUUCUUGCCGAAGCCUCCAACACAUUCCAUACCAUCAUAUUCCGUCUGCCGCCGCAGCCGCAGCUUCUGCUCUGUAGUUUGCUCCGCUGUUUCGUCUGGCGAAGCUGUGGAAAGGCCUUUAUCAGGCGACUUUGGGACAAAGGAAGUUGAAGAAAGCAGGAAAAUCGGGGAAUUCCGGAGAAGAUUGAGAAUCGCAGACAUAAAAGGAGGGCCUAAUGAGGGGUUGGAUCGAUUGGGUGAGACUUUAGUGGUUCGAGGUUGGGUUCGGACUUUGCGAGCACAGAGCAGCGUUACAUUUAUAGAGGUUAAUGAUGGGUCCUGUCUUUCGAAUAUGCAAUGUGUUAUGAGCCAGGAUGCCGAGGGUUAUGAUCAGGUGGAGAAUGGUCUGAUUGUAACUGGAGCAUCAGUAUGGAUACAAGGCACUAUAGCGAGCAGCCAAGGAUCAAAACAGAAAAUAGAACUGAAAGUUGAGAAGCUCAUACUGGUUGGUAAAAGUGAUCCUUCCUUCCCAAUUCAGAAGAAGCGAGUCAGCAGAGAAUUUUUGAGAACCAAAGCACAUCUUCGUCCUAGAACAAAUACUUUUGGUGCGGUUGCAAGGGUGAGGAACGCUUUGGCCUUUGCUACACACAAGUUUUUCCAAGAAAAUGGUUUUGUUUGGGUCUCAAGUCCUAUUGUCACUGCCUCUGAUUGUGAAGGUGCUGGCGAACAAUUUUGUGUGACAACCUUGAUUCCAAACUCCAAAGAACCUGCAAAUUCUCCAGUGAACGAAAUCCCAAAAACUGUAUCUGGUUCUAUUGACUGGUCUCAAGACUUUUUUGGGAAACCAGCCUUCUUAACAGUUUCUGGACAACUCAAUGCUGAAACAUAUGCUACUGCCCUCAAUGAUGUCUACACAUUUGGUCCUACAUUCAGAGCAGAAAAUUCUAACACUUCCAGACACUUGGCAGAAUUUUGGAUGAUUGAACCAGAACUUGCAUUUGCUGAUUUAGAAGAUGACAUGUCCUGUGCAGCUGCCUAUCUCCAGUACGUAGUACAAUAUAUUCUGGAUAAUUGCAAAGAAGACAUGGAAUUCUUCAAUACUUGGAUUGAGAAAGGAAUCAUCAAGCGAUUAAGUGAUGUUGUUGAGAAAAAAGUUGUGCAGUUGACUUAUACUGAUGCAAUUGAACUACUGUUGAAAACAAAAAAGAAGUUUGAAUUCCCAGUUAACUGGGGAUGUGAUUUGCAAAGUGAGCAUGAACGUUAUAUAACUGAGGAAGCUUUUGGUGGAUGCCCUGUCAUAAUAAGAGAUUAUCCAAAGGAUAUUAAGGCAUUUUACAUGCGGGAGAAUGAUGAUGGAAAGACUGUUGCAGCAAUGGAUAUGUUGGUUCCUCGGGUGGGUGAACUUAUCGGUGGAAGCCAGAGAGAGGAACGCCUUGAGUAUCUGGAAAAACGCUUAGAUGACUUAAAUCUGAAUAAAGAAAGCUACUGGUGGUAUCUCGAUCUACGGCGCUAUGGCUCAGUUCCUCACGCUGGAUUUGGACUAGGCUUUGAGAGGCUUGUGCAGUUUGCGACGGGAAUAGAUAAUAUUCGGGAUGCAAUACCUUUCCCUAGGACACCUGGCUCAGCCGAGUUUUGAUACUCGACUGCCGCCACCGGGUUUUGAUAGUGUUCAGAAUAUCUGAUGUGCAUGAUUUUAAAGGAGAUGAAUUUUUGCACCAGAGAUGGACAACAGAAUUGCGGCUUUUGAUCGGAAAAAUUCCAUCGUCUGGUAUGUAACAUACACUUGAUUUCACUGCCAUUUCUGAUUCUUGAAUAUUCUCUAUUUUUUUUUUUAAAAACAAAAACUGCUUCUGCAAAAUUGAAACCAAGUAUAACCAAUUAUUUUUUCUUCGCUUAUUUA
RNA transcript from Ipomoea nil (Japanese morning glory), 2114 nucleotides. It is a transcript of the gene named asparagine--tRNA ligase, chloroplastic/mitochondrial-like, with no coding region annotated. The transcript is spliced from 16 exons. The record is from RefSeq and is a predicted model, not a curated record. NCBI's taxonomy places the organism in Eukaryota, Viridiplantae, Streptophyta, Magnoliopsida, Solanales, Convolvulaceae.